RNAcentral lists this ribosomal RNA (332 nucleotides) under uncultured bacterium. Its description in RNAcentral is "bacterial SSU rRNA". It matches the Rfam family "Bacterial small subunit ribosomal RNA", at positions 568 to 898 of the family's 1533-position model. The record is from RNAcentral.
CGCGUAGGCGGCCGUGUGCGUCAGAGGUGAAAUCCCCGGGCUUAACCCGGGAACUGCCUCUGAUACGGCAUGGCUUGAGUCCGGGAGAGGGGAGCAGAAUUCCCAGUGUAGCGGUGAAAUGCGUAGAUAUUGGGAGGAAUACCAGUGGCGAAGGCGGCUCCCUGGACCGGUACUGACGCUGAGGCGCGAAAGCGUGGGUAGCAAACAGGAUUAGAUACCCUGGUAGUCCACGCCGUAAACGAUGGGUGCUUGGUGUCGGGGGUAUCGACCCCUCCGGUGCCGAAGCUAACGCAUUAAGCACCCCGCCUGGGGAGUACGGUCGCAAGGCUGAA